This 1267-nucleotide long non-coding RNA is filed under the name Felis catus (domestic cat). RNAcentral's name for it is "lncRNA (ENSFCAG00000050684.1)". Lineage: Eukaryota; Metazoa; Chordata; Mammalia; Carnivora; Felidae. The record is from RNAcentral.
AUGCCACCACGUUCUAGAGCGGUCAGAAGAGCAGUUUCCGGUUUUGGCAAGCGCGCCUGCGCACUAGCUCUGACUUUAUUGGUUCGAACCGCCUCGUGCGAUGCGCGUCACGGCGACGUGCAGUCGUGGGGGCGGGAAGACGCGGCGGCGGCGGUCGCGGCGGCGCGAGCACGAUCCCAGACGCGGUAUCGCGGCGGCGGCAGCGGCGCGGCUACCCCGGGUUCGGUCCCCUCCCUCCUCCGCUCCCCCCUCCUCCCCCUCCCCUCAGCUCUGGUUCCAGAGGAGUCCGAGACGCGCGGCGAGGCGGCGACAAGCUCUGGCAUUCAAGGGAGAGGAUUGCUGUCUCUGACUGUGCCUCUGAGCUGGCUACGGAGACUGGUGCUGGCUCCCCUCCUCCCCAGGUGCGUGCACAGGGUGGCUCCAGUCUGGAGAAAGCCCUGCCACCCUAGAAUGAGGUAGAAAUUGGUUCCUUCUUUUUUUUUUUCUGUUCCCAGGUCUGUGGUUUUUCUCUUGUCCAAAUACAGUCCUACUUUUCCACAGCCUCCCUUUCUCUUCCUUUUGUCUUUCCACCCAGGGGAAACCUCCCGUCUGUGCCUGUGCCACCCGUUUUAUCUCCCUAGUUUGCAAUCACACACCUGUAGCCUGCCUAGUUGUCCCAUGGGUCCCUGGAGAUGUUUCUGUCACUGUAGCCCAGAUUCCUGGAAUUCCCAGUCUUCUGGCCUUAAUACUGCUGUGUUUGAGGGAUGAGGGAACUUUGGGUCCCCCUACUUCUCCACCAUGUUGACUCCUCCCCUAGAGAUUAUAGCAAUUCUAAAGGCAUUUGCAAAGUACAACUCUUAGAGAAUCAUUAAAAAAUACUGCUUGUGAAAAGAGAUUUAUGACAGCCCCAAAUUUGUCAAGUGGCAUUGGCAGCCAAUAGCUCAAAUUCUGUGAAACAUCUAACUCAGAUAUCCACAUACUGUUAUUGGUAGGUGUUAUUUUGAAUUGUUAAAACUAAAAAUUGAUCAUUUUUGGUGAUUUCUAUCUGUAUAAAGGUCUGGCUUAAGAGAGCUGUAUGUGAUGAAUAGGCUAUACUAUGUACAAAAGUUAUAUAUAUAAAAUAAUGUAACUUUUUUUAUUACAUUAAAAAUGUGACCUUUGGGGUUGUCAUUUCAUGAUCAGUCUUUUAAUUGUUUCAGACUCAGAGGUUAUAGGACAGUUUAUAUAAAAUAUGGAAAGGUGGGGUGCCUGGGUGGCUCAUUUGAGUGUCAGACUCUUGACCUUGGCU